GACAGCAGCAGCCGCGGGAAUACAGAGGGUGCGAGCGUUAAUCGGAUUUACUGGGCGUAAAGCGUGCGUAGGCGGCUUCUUAAGUCGGAUGUUAAAUCCCUGAGCUUAACUUAGGAAUUGCAUUCGAUACUGGGAAGCUAGAGUAUGGGAGAGGAUGGUAGAAUUCCAGGUGUAGCGGUGAAAUGCGUAGAGAUCUGGAGGAAUACCGAUGGCGAAGGCAGCCAUCUGGCCUAAUACUGACGCUGAGGUACGAAAGCAUGGGGAGCAAACAGGAUUAGAUACCCGAGUAGUCCCUGUCUCUUAUAC
Molecule: ribosomal RNA, 306 nt
Filed under: uncultured bacterium
Lineage: Bacteria
Description: partial 16S ribosomal RNA
Rfam family: Bacterial small subunit ribosomal RNA
Source: RNAcentral